UGACAUCCAGAGAAUCCAGCGGAGACGCAGGAGUGCCUUCGGGAGCUGUGAGACAGGUGCUGCAUGGCUGUCGUCAGCUCGUGUUGUGAAAUGUUGGGUUAAGUCCCGCAACGAGCGCAACCCUUAUCCUUGUUUGCCAGCGAGUAAUGUCGGGAACUCCAGGGAGACUGCCGGUGAUAAACCGGAGGAAGGUGGGGACGACGUCAAGUCAUCAUGGCCCUUACGAGUAGGGCUACACACGUGCUACAAUGGCGCAUACAGAGGGCAGCCAACUUGCGAAAGUGAGCGAAUCCCAAAAAGUGCGUCGUAGUCCGGAUUGGAGUCUGCAACUCGACUCCAUGAAGUCGGAAUCGCUAGUAAUCG
This 363-nucleotide ribosomal RNA is filed under the name Vibrio aestuarianus. Its description in RNAcentral is "bacterial SSU rRNA". It matches the Rfam family "Bacterial small subunit ribosomal RNA", at positions 982 to 1344 of the family's 1533-position model. Lineage: Bacteria; Pseudomonadati; Pseudomonadota; Gammaproteobacteria; Vibrionales; Vibrionaceae. The record is from RNAcentral.